AGCGCUAUAGUCUAGCGGUCAAGGAUACGGGACUCUGAAUCCCGUGACCCCGGUUCGAAUCCGGGUAGCGCUA
This 73-nucleotide transfer RNA is filed under the name archaeon. RNAcentral describes it as "tRNA-Gln". It matches the Rfam family "tRNA". From Rfam's summary of the family: Transfer RNA (tRNA) molecules are approximately 80 nucleotides in length. Their secondary structure includes four short double-helical elements and three loops (D, anti-codon, and T loops). The record is from RNAcentral.